GCGGCGUGCUUAACACAUGCAAGUCGAACGGAAAGGCCCUGCUUUUGUGGGGUGCUCGAGUGGCGAACGGGUGAGUAACACGUGAGCAACCUGCCCUUGACUUUGGGAUAACUUCAGGAAACUGGGGCUAAUACCGGAUAGGAGCUCCUGCUGCAUGGUGGGGGUUGGAAAGUUUCGGCGGUUGGGGAUGGACUCGCGGCUUAUCAGCUUGUUGGUGGGGUAGUGGCUUACCAAGGCUUUGACGGGUAGCCGGCCUGAGAGGGUGACCGGCCACAUUGGGACUGAAAUACGGCCCAGACUCCUACGGGAGGCAGCAGUGGGGAAUAUUGCACAAUGGGCGGAAGCCUGAUGCAGCAACGCCGCGUGCGGGAUGACGGCCUUCGGGUUGUAAACCGCUUUCGCCUGUGACGAAGCGUGAGUGACGGUAAUGGGUAAAGAAGCACCGGCUAACUACGUGCCAGCAGCCGCGGUGAUACGUAGGGUGCGAGCGUUGUCCGGAUUUAUUGGGCGUAAAGGGCUCGUAGGUGGUUGAUCGCGUCGGAAGUGUAAUCUUGGGGCUUAACCCUGAGCGUGCUUUCGAUACGGGUUGACUUGAGGAAGGUAGGGGAGAAUGGAAUUCCUGGUGGAGCGGUGGAAUGCGCAGAUAUCAGGAGGAACACCAGUGGCGAAGGCGGUUCUCUGGGCCUUUCCUGACGCUGAGGAGCGAAAGCGUGGGGAGCGAACAGGCUUAGAUACCCUGGUAGUCCACGCUGUAAACGGUGGGUACUAGGUGUGGGGUCCAUUCCACGGGUUCCGUGCCGUAGCUAACGCUUUAAGUACCCCGCGUGGGGAGUACGGCCGCAAGGCUAAAACUCAAAGGAAUUGACGGGGCCCCGCACAAGCGGCGGAGCAUGCGGAUUAAUUCGAUGCAACGCGUAGAACCUUACCUGGGUUUGACAUGGAUCGGGAGUGCUCAGAGAUGGGUGUGCCUCUUUUGGGGUCGGUUCACAGGUGGUGCAUGGCUGUCGUCAGCUCGUGUCGUGAGAUGUUGGGUUAAGUCCCGCAACGAGCGCAACCCUUGUUCACUGUUGCCAGCACGUUAUGGUGGGGACUCAGUGGAGACCGCCGGGGUCAACUCGGAGGAAGGUGGGGAUGACGUCAAGUCAUCAUGCCCCUUAUGUCCAGGGCUUCACGCAUGCUACAAUGGCUGGUACAGAGAGUGGCGAGCCUGUGAGGGUGAGCGAAUCUCGGAAAGCCGGUCUCAGUUCGGAUUGGGGUCUGCAACUCGACCUCAUGAAGUCGGAGUCGCUAGUAAUCGCAGAUCAGCAACGCUGCGGUGAAUACGUUCCCGGGGCUUGUACACACCGCCCGUCAAGUCAUGAAAGUUGGUAACACCCGAAGCCGGUGGCCUAACCGUUGUGGGGGAGCCGUCGAAGGUGGGACUGGUGAUUAG
RNAcentral lists this ribosomal RNA (1432 nucleotides) under uncultured organism. RNAcentral's name for it is "partial small subunit ribosomal RNA". It matches the Rfam family "Bacterial small subunit ribosomal RNA". The record is from RNAcentral.